UACGUAGGGUGCGAGCGUUAAUCGGAAUUACUGGGCGUAAAGCGUGCGCAGGCGGUUUUGUAAGCCGGAUGUGAAAUCCCCGGGCUUAACCUGGGAAUGGCAUUCGGGACUGCAAGGCUGGAGUGCGGCAGAGGAGACUGGAAUUCCUGGUGUAGCAGUGAAAUGCGUAGAUAUCAGGAGGAACACCGAUGGCGAAGGCAGGUCUCUGGGCCGAUACUGACGCUGAGGAGCGAAAGCGUGGGGAGCAAACAGG
RNAcentral lists this ribosomal RNA (253 nucleotides) under uncultured bacterium. RNAcentral describes it as "partial 16S ribosomal RNA". It matches the Rfam family "Bacterial small subunit ribosomal RNA", at positions 524 to 776 of the family's 1533-position model. The record is from RNAcentral.